AUUGAACGCUGGCGGCAGGCCUAACACAUGCAAGUCGAGCGGAUGAAGGGAGCUUGCUCCUGGAUUCAGCGGCGGACGGGUGAGUAAUGCCUAGGAAUCUGCCUGGUAGUGGGGGAUAACGUCCGGAAACGGGCGCUAAUACCGCAUACGUCCUGAGGGAGAAAGUGGGGGAUCUUCGGACCUCACGCUAUCAGAUGAGCCUAGGUCGGAGUAGCUAGUUGGUGGGGUAAAGGCUUACCAAGGCGACGAUCUGUAACUGGUCUGAGAGGAUGAGCAGUCACACUGGAACUGAGAAACGGUCCAGACUCCGACGGGAGGCAGCAGUGGGGAAUAUUGCACAAUGGGCGCAAGCCUGAGUCAGCCAUGCCGUGUGUAUGAAGAAGGCCUUCGGGUUGUAAAGUCCUUUCAGUGGGGAGGAAGGGAGUAAAGUUAAUACCUUUUCUCAUUGACGUUACCCGCAGAAGAAGCACCGGCUAACUCCUUG
Molecule: ribosomal RNA, 484 nt
Filed under: uncultured bacterium
Lineage: Bacteria
Description: partial 16S ribosomal RNA
Rfam family: Bacterial small subunit ribosomal RNA
Source: RNAcentral